Molecule: long non-coding RNA, 419 nt
Organism: Thalassophryne amazonica
Lineage: Eukaryota; Metazoa; Chordata; Actinopteri; Batrachoidiformes; Batrachoididae
Exons: 2
Source: RefSeq, a predicted model, not a curated record
CAAACUGGGUAAAAAAAUAAACAAAUAAAUAAAAAAUAAUAAGGGAAUGUGAUGUAAGGCUAAAGACGACAGCUUUCCCCUCUCCUAUCUGUCGCUCCCUCCCUCCUCUCCUCUCCAGACUGGGUUGGACCAGACAGCAGGUGGAGCAGAAGAGGAGCCCGGACGUGGGAUUCCCAAAUCCCUGCCUCUGACUUCUGCACUCAACAAGCAUGGAGAAGCAACAAAUGCCACAUUUUAACAACUCAGGUGUCACAGCAGCAGCCUCUGUGGUCCAGGCGCGCUGAAUAAAGAUGCAUGUGGAUUUGGAGGAAAUAAGCCGCCUUCAAAUCAUAUGAGUCAAAAGGAGGAGAAAGAUGUCCACCCGGUAAUCUCACGCGUGCAGCUGGUGCAGCCUUGUUUAUGUGAGACUUCCAAGAAAA